CUACGGGGUGCAGCAGUUGAGAAUCGUCUACAAUGGGGGAAACCCUGAUAGUGCGACGCCGCGUGAACGAUGAAACCCUUCGGGGCGUAAAGUUCUUUUCUCUGUGAGCAGUAUAUUUGAGAUUAAUAAUUUUAGGUAUAAGAUGUUAGCAGAGGAAUAAGCCACGGCUAACUCCGUGCCAGCAGCCGCGGUAAUACGGGGGUGGCGAGCGUUGUCCGGAAUCACUAGGCGUAAAGGGCAGGUAGGCGGACCGGUAAGUCAGAUGUUAAAGGCGCAGGCUCAACCUGUGUAAGGCAUUUGAUACUGUCGGUCUAGAGUUAGGUAUGGGAGGACGGAAUUCCCGGUGUAGCGGUGGAAUGCGCAGAUAUCGGGAAGAACACCAAAGGCGAAGGCAGUUCUCUUGGCCAUAACUGACGCUAAACUGCGAAGGUGUGGGUAUCAAACAGGAUUAGAUACCCGAGUAGUC
Molecule: ribosomal RNA, 466 nt
Filed under: uncultured bacterium
Lineage: Bacteria
Description: partial 16S ribosomal RNA
Rfam family: Bacterial small subunit ribosomal RNA
Source: RNAcentral